RNAcentral lists this ribosomal RNA (495 nucleotides) under uncultured bacterium. RNAcentral's name for it is "partial 16S ribosomal RNA". It matches the Rfam family "Bacterial small subunit ribosomal RNA", at positions 28 to 507 of the family's 1533-position model. The record is from RNAcentral.
GACGAACGCUGGUGGCGUGCCUAAUACAUGCAAGUAGAACGCUGAAGGAGGAGCUUGCUUCUCUGGAUGAGUUGCGAACGGGUGAGUAACGCGUAGGUAACCUGCCUGGUAGCGGGGGAUAACUAUUGGAAACGAUAGCUAAUACCGCAUAAGAGUAGAUGUUGCAUGACAUUUGCUUAAAAGGUGCAAUUGCAUCACUACCAGAUGGACCUGCGUUGUAUUAGCUAGUUGGUGAGGUAACGGCUCACCAAGGCGACGAUACAUAGCCGACCUGAGAGGGUGAUCGGCCACACUGGGACUGAGACACGGCCCAGACUCCUACGGGAGGCAGCAGUAGGGAAUCUUCGGCAAUGGACGGAAGUCUGACCGAGCAACGCCGCGUGAGUGAAGAAGGUUUUCGGAUCGUAAAGCUCUGUUGUAAGAGAAGAACGAGUGUGAGAGUGGAAAGUUCACACUGUGACGGUAUCUUACCAGAAAGGGACGGCUAACUACGUG